RNAcentral lists this long non-coding RNA (375 nucleotides) under Cricetulus griseus (Chinese hamster). RNAcentral's name for it is "lncRNA (ENSCGRG00000025578.1)". The record is from RNAcentral. Lineage: Eukaryota; Metazoa; Chordata; Mammalia; Rodentia; Cricetidae.
UGCAAACCUGUCAUCUCAGUGCUCAGGAGGCUAAGGCAGGAAUAUCUACAGAGUUGCCGUGUUCCAAGUCAGCUUCUGAUGGACAAAAGUAGUUUUUAAAACACCUCCAACUGACCACACACUUUCCUCUUUCUGCUGCCUGUAGAAGAGCAUCGCUGUUUGCCAUGAAGCCAUCUUCCCCACCUCUCAGCAGCAUUACCUUCCGGAGAAGCAGCAGCAGUUCACUAGUGAAUUGCCUCAAAGGAGCCAAUUGUGACUCUGAUAGAGUUCACAUCAGGAGCAUCAAUAGAUGCUGCACGGUCGUCAUUCUCCAAAGCAAAGCAUGGCAGGAUCUCCCGAAGACACACGCAGCCUGGAAAGAGAAUUAGUUUAUUU